CAGCGCAGUUGUAAAAGUUCUUAUUUUCUGGGUGCUAAUCUGCUAAAUAGUAAAUUUUGGGGCCUGCUCUUCAUAUCCGAGAGUCAAAUAGAAAUGUUUAAUUGUGCGCUUACAGCGCAGUUGUAAACAUUCUAAUUGUUUUGGUGCCAAACUACUAAAUAGUACAUUUUGGGGCCUGCUCUUCAUAUCUGUGAGUCAAAUAGAAGCGUCAAAUUCUGCGGUUACAGCGCAAUUGUAAACAUUCCAAUUGUUUUGCUGCUAAACUGCUAAAUAGUACAUUUUGGGCGUGCUCUUCA
Molecule: non-coding RNA, 296 nt
Organism: Pelobates cultripes (western spadefoot toad)
Lineage: Eukaryota; Metazoa; Chordata; Amphibia; Anura; Pelobatidae
Source: the annotation of a GenBank genome assembly